GGCAACACAAAGUUCGGUACCGUACUGGAAUUGCUGCAGUGGAAAGCAGAGAAUACUGUGGCUGACAAAGGAUUUGAGAAGCUACUGAAAAUAUUGAAGAAGAAGCUUCCAAAGGAUAACGAAUUGCCCGACAGUACAUACGCAGCAAAGAAGGUUGUAUACCCUCUAGGAUUGGAGGUGGAGAAGAUACAUGCAUGCCCUAAUGACUGCAUCCUCUACCACGGUGCAUACAAGGAUCUGAACGCAUGCCCGGUAUGCGGUGCAUUGCGGUAUAAGAUCAGACGAGAUGACCCUGGUGAUGUUGACGGCGAGCCCCCCAGGAAGAGGGUUCCUGCGAAGGUGAUGUGGUAUGCUCCUAUAAUACCACGGUUGAAACGUCUGUUCAGAAACGAAGAGCAUGCCAAGUUGAUGCGAUGGCACAGUGAGAACCGAAAGAAAGAUGGGAAGUUGAGAGCACCGCUGACGGGUCGCAGUGGAGAAAGAUCGAGAGAAAGUACUGGGAUGAGUUUGCAAAGGACACAAGGAAUGUAUGGUUUGCUUUAA
This 543-nucleotide ribosomal RNA is filed under the name Triticum aestivum (bread wheat). Its description in RNAcentral is "partial small subunit ribosomal RNA". Lineage: Eukaryota; Viridiplantae; Streptophyta; Magnoliopsida; Poales; Poaceae. The record is from RNAcentral.